This is a long non-coding RNA of Etheostoma spectabile (orangethroat darter), 1051 nucleotides long. RefSeq lists it as uncharacterized. The transcript has 4 exons. NCBI's taxonomy places the organism in Eukaryota, Metazoa, Chordata, Actinopteri, Perciformes, Percidae. The record is from RefSeq and is a predicted model, not a curated record.
GCGACAGGGGGUUUAGUGGCGAAGAAACAGAAGAGCAAAACAUCUGCAGCCUUUACUGGAGAGAGUAUUUACUCAGUUAUGAUUAAUUUGUCAAGGGGUUGCCACUUAGCCCGGAGGAAGAAAAGCACAUGUGACACUGGAUCCUUGCAGGGCUAAUGGUCAUUACCCGAGCAGACGACCCGCCCUCUCUCCGCCACCCUCAGACCUGCUGCUGGAGGUUCAGAAACCCACUUCCUGGUAUUUCGUCUCAAGGACUUCUCAAACACAGCCCUGGGUGUCCCUCCGGGGAAACAAAACAUGCUGGAGAGAGGAAGGGAAACAGUAGCUUAAUGUGAUAUGAGGACGAAAACAACAACAACAACAACAAUGCCUGGAAAGUUCACCUACUGGGCCGCAUUUGGCCAUGAUGUGUUUCCAGUCAUUUAGGAGACCUACAGGUGCCAGGAAGUACGCCUCAGGCACGCUGUAGCAUUCAUUCAGAAAUGUGAUAGGAAAAUGCCUGAUACGUGUGAAACUGAGUAAAUACAUGUAUAUGCAUUUGUGAAUGUUUGAGGUGUUUUAUGUAAAGUGUGUUUGGUUUGUGCUGUUCCCUUACUGUUAAGUCUGUUUGGGGGGAAAAUGAAAGACAGAGAUAAAAUGAGACUUUACUGCAACAUUUUUACUUUGAUUAUUCUUUGAUCUUAUUACAGAGGAAAAGCUGACUUUAUGCCUUGAUUUGUGAUGUCUGUAUAUGUCAUAUAUGUCUAGAGGUUAUAAGUCUCAGUCCCAGGUAGAAAUGUGAUUUGUUUUUUUUAACAGAGCACAGGAUUUCAAAAAUCUAGAGUGGGUGAGUGAAUCUCUGCUCUCAACCAGCACAGAGAAAGAGCACAAGUGGCACCUAGUGGACUGCAGCAGUGCUGCACCCUGCCUUGAAGAGAGGCUGUUUCAGGCAUGCCUUGCUUUCUCACUCACUGACUUGGUGACCUGAACAACAGGUCUAGGGUCUCUUGUUGCAAGUCACAUGUUAAGGUUGACCUUUAUUCUUCUUCAGGACAGUUGUAAAGUACUUUGA